This 253-nucleotide ribosomal RNA is filed under the name uncultured bacterium. RNAcentral describes it as "partial 16S ribosomal RNA". It matches the Rfam family "Bacterial small subunit ribosomal RNA", at positions 524 to 776 of the family's 1533-position model. The record is from RNAcentral.
UACGGAGGGUGCGAGCGUUGUCCGGAAUCACUGGGCGUAAAGGGCGCGUAGGCGGCCUGAUAAGUAGGGGGUGAAAUCCUGCGGCUUAACCGCAGGGCUGCCUUCUAAACUGUCAGGCUCGAGCACAGUAGAGGCAGGUGGAAUUCCCGGUGUAGCGGUGGAAUGCGUAGAGAUCGGGAAGACCACCAAUGGCGAAGGCACUCUACUGGGCCAUUACUGACACUGAGAGACGAAAGCUAGGGGAGCAAAUGGG